RNAcentral lists this ribosomal RNA (341 nucleotides) under Lysinibacillus sphaericus. RNAcentral's name for it is "bacterial SSU rRNA". It matches the Rfam family "Bacterial small subunit ribosomal RNA", at positions 1049 to 1391 of the family's 1533-position model. The record is from RNAcentral. Lineage: Bacteria; Bacillati; Bacillota; Bacilli; Caryophanales; Bacillaceae.
UUGUCGUCACCUCGUGUCGUGAGAUGUUGGGUUAAGUCCCGCAACGAGCGCAACCCUUGAUCUUAUUUGCCAUCAUUUAGUUGGGCACUCUAAGGUGACUGCCGGUGACAAACCGGAGGAAGGUGGGGAUGACGUCAAAUCAUCAUGCCCCUUAUGACCUGGGCUACACACGUGCUACAAUGGACGAUACAAACGGUUGCCAACUCGCGAGAGGGAGCUAAUCCGAUAAAGUCGUUCUCAGUUCGGAUUGUAGGCUGCAACUCGCCUACAUGAAGCCGGAAUCGCUAGUAAUCGCGGAUCAGCAUGCCGCGGUGAAUACGUUCCCGGGUCUUGUACACACC